UACGGGAGGCAGCAGUGGGGAAUAUUGCACAAUGGGCGAAAGCCUGAUGCAGCUAUGCCGCGUGUAUGAAGAAGGCCUUAGGGUUGUAAAGUACUUUCAUCGGGGAGGAAAAACAAAACUAAUAAUUUUAUUUCUUGACGUUACCCGAAAAAGAAGCACCGGCUAACUCCGUGCCAGCAGCCGCGGUAAUACGGAGGGUGCUAGCGUUAAUCAGAAUUACUGGGCGUAAAGAGCACGUAGGUGGUUUUUUUAAGUCAGAUGUGAAAUCCCUGGGCUUAACCUAGGAACUGCAUUUUGAAACUGAAAUACUAGAGUAUCGUAGAGGGAGGUAGAAUUCUAGGUGUAGCGGUGAAAUGCGUAGAUAUCUGGAGGAAUACCUGUGGCGAAAGCGGCCUCCUAAACGAAUACUGACACUGAGGUGCGAAAGCGUGGGGAGCAAACAGGGAUUGGAUACC
RNAcentral lists this ribosomal RNA (455 nucleotides) under uncultured bacterium. RNAcentral's name for it is "bacterial SSU rRNA". It matches the Rfam family "Bacterial small subunit ribosomal RNA", at positions 340 to 786 of the family's 1533-position model. The record is from RNAcentral.